GCAAGUCAAGGGGUAACAUUGGAGCUUGCUUCAGAUGACGACCGGCGCACGGGUGCGCACCGCGUAUGGCACCUACCUUUUACAGAGGGAUAGCCCAGGGAAACUUGGAUUAAUACCUCAUAGUAUCAUUAUACAUCAUUGUGUUUUGAUUAAAGACUUCGGUCGGUAAAAGAUGGCCAUGCGUCCCAUUAGCUUGUUGGUAAGGUAACGGCUUACCAAGGCUACGAUGGGUAGGGGCCCUGAGAGGGGGAUC
Molecule: ribosomal RNA, 253 nt
Filed under: uncultured bacterium
Lineage: Bacteria
Description: partial 16S ribosomal RNA
Rfam family: Bacterial small subunit ribosomal RNA
Source: RNAcentral